CCGCCCGCCUACGAGCAGAGCCUCAGCAACCCACAUCCCCACGGCAACCCCCACCCGCACCCACGCUCCCCCAGGACUGCCCGGCACGGGGGUGGCGUGGGCCCACCACCUCCACUUGCUCCCCCUCACCCCCGACGAGUCCCAAACGGUUACCGCUCGUCUUCGCCCUCCCCGCACCGGCGAGGGCCCCCACAUCAACACCCCCAUCCGGGAGGACCACCCCACAGGUCCCCCCCUCAUCACCGGGUCCCCCAUGGAGGCCCCAGAGGCCCCCGGAAGGGCCUGCACGAACCCUACAGCGAGACGGACGAGGACGACUGGUGCUAGCACAGCGAAGGAACAGAAGAACGAGGGAGGAGAGGAAGAGAGGAAAAGGAGGGAGGAGAGGAGUCUCUCCGUCUCCCCGUCCUCUGUUCUUCGUUAUGCAGACUUGAAUGAAGGGUAAAGGGAUGCAGAAGGGGUGAGGAAAGGAAAGGAAAGGAGGAGAGGAGAAUUUGGGAGAAGUCUCUCCAUCUCUCUACCUCUACACCUGAGACUCAGGCUUGGAUGGAAUGAUGAGGGAUGGAGGGAUGGUUAGAGGAGAGGAGGCACAGUGUGUGGGUGUGUGAGACUCUAAACUCAGAGCAGACAUGACAAAGAGAGACCGCUGUAAGGCAGAACAACGCACCUCUCCUCUUCUCCUCUGUCUCAACUACCAUACCGAGAGUUCUCAGCGUGCCCAGGGGGGAGUGGACCGAGGGAUGGUGGAGAGGUGCUGACGGAGGUGUGCAGAGGUGCUGACGGAGGUGUGGAGAGGGAAGAAAGAACAAAAGAAUGAAAGGAAGGGAGGAGCAUGUAUACUAAGUUACAAGUGGCCAAUGAACGGUAAAUAAAGCCCCUCUCCCAGACUGUUUAGGAGAUAGGUGGGUUAGUUAAGUUAAGCUAAACCUGGGUGCUCUUGCUGUUCUGUCAUUCUAUUCUACUAGCCUGAUAAGUGUUAGGAGCUAACAGCUAAACGCUAGCUAGCUAACACUGCUCUUGGUCUAACCUAGACGGACAUGUUUAAAAAAGAAAAACAAUGAAAACCCAUGCCAGGACCCCCUAUCCUUAUACACGCCAAGCUAUGCCUCCAGAAAAAUCUAACUUGAAGACUAAAGAACAGAAAACAAACUUUUAAAAAAAAAGAGGAGAAAAAAAGGGAGAACAACCACUUUAACUUAAACUUUCCUUAAAGGGACUAGAACCAGGAAGCUCCGCCUCUACUGCAAAAACCAGCCAAUGACAGAGCUGGCUGAUAUUUGAUGAGUUUUAUCAUCUCCUGUUUACUGUUACAGACUCACGAAAUGCUGACGACGGACCUGGUGUGACCUCACUUCCUGUGGGUGGGGCCUAGUGUGACAUCACGUCCUUUUCCGGUGGGUGGGGCCACAGGGGAGGGGCUGGGGGCAGAGUUAUGGACCCUUAGGGGGCGUAGUUUGUUUGCCCCCACUAUCUUCUCUCCCCCCUUCCUCUCUCCUCCAUCCUGCCGAAAAAGAAAGGACAGGAAAGGAAAAUGAUGGGAGGAGGAGCGGAAAGAAAGAAGGGGAGGGAAAAGACGAUUUCUUCAGUAUUUCUUCUAUCGAUUACUUCUUCUUCUUCUAGUUCUUCUUCUUGGACAUUGCAGCUUGGUUCUUCUGUUGCAUUCGCUCAAGCCUCUGUUAAUCCGUUAUGAUGCAUGAAGGAAUUUAACAACAAAAAAAUACCUAGAGAGAAAAUCUACUGUUGGGGAUAUGGGGGCAUAUUGGGUUUAUAGAACAUUUACAUUUUAGAUUUUGAUUGAAGAAGUUCUCUUUUUCUGACUCUCUCUCUCUCUCUCUCUGACUCUGUCUAUCAUCAUGCGUUUGUUUAUUGAGUAAAUGUUUGUUCUAUAUCACCCUAAGGAUCCGAUGGACAACCUUUUUUAAGUUUGAUUUCCACCCAAUAGGGUUUUAAAGCUACCAUUUUCUUAUCUUGAAAGUACUCCUAUGUUCCUGAGAUACUCCUAAAUUUUACUAAGAUACUCCUGUUGUACUAAGAUAUUCCUGAGUUGUUUUGAGGAAUAAGUAAGAAUUGAGAGAGCUAUGAGGAGAGAAAACUUCAACCUCUUUAAAUAAUUGAUUUGUAUUGUUAAUAAUGAUGAUAGUCCUAUAAAUACUGAUAUCAAUGUCAAUGCUAAACGAUGAAUGAUGAUAGUUGUUUGCCGUAGAUCUGUUGUCAUGUUUUUUGGAGUUUCAAUCUGCUGUGUCAUCUAGUUUUCAUCGUUUAUUUUCCUUGGGUUCUGUUCAAACUGUUCCCAAACUGUUCCCAAACUGCUCCCAAACUGUUCCAAAACGCCUUUAACCGGGUCCGAUACAUGCAACACGCAUAAACUUUUCAGGGAGGGGUUAGAUGUCGGAUUGUGAUUGUGAGCAACACAGAUAGAACUGUGUAGCGUUGUGUAACGCAGCUCUUUACCUCUGAUAGGUCCCCCCUCAGUGGUAGACAGAGAACCGGGGCCACGUUCAGUAGCCAAAUGUUGUCAAACGUUGCAGAUAGAAAUGUCAUUAACAGAGCCGACAUGGUUCUUCAUUCUACGUGUAAGAGACGCAUGUUUGUUCUAAAUAGCAUUUUUCUAUCCGAGCGUUCCAAAAACAUUGUGUCCUACUGAGUGCGCCCCAGUCAUAGCCAAAUCAACCGGCCAACCAACCAACCGUCAGACCUCCACACAGUAUCUGAUUUACAGCUGGCUGUGAACCAUAGAGUUAGAAAGAGGACUUAUAUCGGGUUAUAUCCACCUAGAGCCCUCUUUCUACCUCUAUGUUGUGAACGAGCUCCACCUCACAUCCCCAAGAGCUCUCCACUAGCUGUCUAGUCUCUCUGUCUUUCUGAUUCUCCAUCACAUGUUUAGCAUUGAGCUGCUUGCUUUACCAAGCCAGAGGAGAACAUUCUAGAAACAUUUUAGAAUCUCUAAGACGUUCUAGAAACUCUAGUCUAGACUCUAGAAACUCUAGUACAUUCUAGAGCAUUCUUUAGAGAGGUUAGCUAACAUGAUUGUAUCCAGAUGUUUUGGAUUAAAACAUAUUUAUUUUGCUAUGAUUACAAUUAUGUAGAUUGUAACAGAUAUUCCCUAUCAUAACUCGUAAAAUGAUAGAUACAAUAUAGAUAUAUAGAGAUAUAAAAGUUUAUAUAUUAUAGAGAGAAAAACGUACUUUUAUUUACUUCAAACACUCUAGCUACGAAGCUAGAGCUCAGAAACUCUCCAUUGAAAUCAGCUACACAGAUUCAAAUUGCACUUUGUCACUGUAGCUCCACACAAUAUCCCACUACAAACUCUAUGCAGAUCUAUCCAACAUUCAUUUCUCCUUUACCAUUAUAGUGCAGAGUAGUUGUGCCAUUAUAAAUAAAUGACAAUACGUAAGUGAGCGCAUAGAAAUGGAAUGUGUAGAACAGGCCUCCCAAUUCAAGUCAAUGAUGGCAUAUCUAUAGAUUAUAUUUCUAUGGGUCAGAUGGUGUAGUGUCAGAUAGUGUAUAUACAACAUUUUAAUAUAGAUGGAUAGAAGUAUAUAGAUAGAGGGUAUGCCCACAUCGUUUUGCUUUUGCACAAUCACUCACAAAAUCCUUAUCCUUCAUAGCACAUCUUUCCUUUAUUUUUUACCCUCCUGCAGUGUUUUGUCCUCUCCUGCUCCCUCUAUCGUUCUCCCAAGCUGUCCAAUCCCAUAUACCACCCCUGCCCUCCGUAUAGGUAGGUCCAGAGAGAGAGAGGGGGGGCCUACAUAUACCACCCCUGCCCUCCGUAUAGGUAGGUCCAGAGAGAGAGAGGGGGGGCCUACAUAUACCACCCCUGCCCUCCGUAUAGGUAGGUGCAGAGAGAGAGAGGAGGGGCCUACAUAUACCACCCCUGCCCUCCAUAUAGGUAGGUCCAGAGAGAGAGAGGGGGGGCCUACAUAUACCACCCCUGCCCUCCGUAUAGGUAGGUCCAGAGAGAGGGGGGGGGGGCCUACAUAUACCACCCCUGCCCUCCGUAUAGGUAGGUCCAGAGAGAGAGAGGGGGGGCCUACAUAUACCACCCCUGCCCUCCGUAUAGGUAGGUCCAGAGAGAGAGGGGGGUCCUACAUAUACCACCCCUGCCCUCCGUAUAGGUAGGUCCAGAGAGAGAGGGGGGCCUACAUAUACCACCCCUGCCCUCCGUAUAGGUAGGUCCAGAGAGAGAGGGGGGGCCUACAUAUACCACCCCUGCCCUCCUUAUAGGUAGGUCCAGAGAGAGAGGUGGGGGCCUACAUAUACCACCCCUGCCCUCCAUAUAGGUAGGUCCAGAGAGAGAGGGGGGGCCUACAUAUACCACCCCUGCCCUCCGUAUAGGUAGGUCCAGAGAGAGAGAGGGGGGCCUACAUAUACCACCCCUGCCCUCCGUAUAGGUAGGUCCAGAGAGAGAGGGGGGGCCUACAUAUACCACCCCUGCCCUCCAUAUAGGUAGGUCCAGAGAGAGAGGGGG
Molecule: long non-coding RNA, 4468 nt
Filed under: Salmo salar (Atlantic salmon)
Lineage: Eukaryota; Metazoa; Chordata; Actinopteri; Salmoniformes; Salmonidae
Description: lncRNA (ENSSSAG00000109536.1)
Source: RNAcentral